AGUGAACGCUGGCGGUAGGCCUAACACAUGCAAGUCGAACGGCAGCACAGUAAGAGCUUGCUCUUACGGGUGGCGAGUGGCGGACGGGUGAGGAAUACAUCGGAAUCUACUUUUUCGUGGGGGAUAACGUAGGGAAACUUACGCUAAUACCGCAUACGACCUACGGGUGAAAGCAGGGGAUCUUCGGACCUUGCGCGAUUGAAUGAGCCGAUGUCGGAUUAGCUAGUUGGCGGGGUAAAGGCCCACCAAGGCGACGAUCCGUAGCUGGUCUGAGAGGAUGAUCAGCCACACUGGAACUGAGACACGGUCCAGACUCCUACGGGAGGCAGCAGUGGGGAAUAUUGGACAAUGGGCGCAAGCCUGAUCCAGCCAUACUGCGUGGGUGAAGAAGGCCUUCGGGUUGUAAAGCCCUUUUGUUGGGAAAGAAAAGCGGCAGGUUAAUACCCCGCUGUUCUGACGGUACCCAAAGAAUAAGCACCGGCUAACUUCGUG
RNAcentral lists this ribosomal RNA (492 nucleotides) under uncultured bacterium. RNAcentral describes it as "partial 16S ribosomal RNA". It matches the Rfam family "Bacterial small subunit ribosomal RNA", at positions 29 to 507 of the family's 1533-position model. The record is from RNAcentral.